This 345-nucleotide unclassified non-coding RNA is filed under the name soil metagenome. Its description in RNAcentral is "partial contains 5.8S ribosomal RNA, internal transcribed spacer 2, and large subunit ribosomal RNA". The stretch from base 1 to 121 matches the Rfam family "5.8S ribosomal RNA", at positions 35 to 154 of the family's 154-position model. The record is from RNAcentral.
GAUGAAGAACCGUAGCGAAAUGCGAUACGUAAUGUGAAUUGCAGAAUUCAGUGAAUCAUCGAGUCUUUGAACGCACAUUGCGCCCCCUGGUAUUCCGGGGGGCAUGCCUGUCCGAGCGUCAUUGCUGCCCUCAAGCACGGCUUGUGUGUUGGGCCUCCGUCCUCCUCCCGGGGGACGGGCCCGAAAGGCAGCGGCGGCACCGCGUCCGGUCCUCGAGCGUAUGGGGCUUCGUCACCCGCUCUUGUAGGCCCGGCCGGCGCUUGCCGACACAUCAAUCUUUUUUCCAGGUUGACCUCGGAUCAGGUAGGGAUACCCGCUGAACUUAAGCAUAUCAAUAAGCGGAGA